Molecule: non-coding RNA, 86 nt
Organism: Paenibacillus sp. FSL H8-0548
Lineage: Bacteria; Bacillati; Bacillota; Bacilli; Caryophanales; Paenibacillaceae
Source: Rfam
UAACCUUGCUCAUGAGGGCAAGCUGAACGUACAGAAGUCAGCAGACGCCAUAGUACGCAGAUGGUUGCAACCGUCUGCGGAAGGGC